Molecule: ribosomal RNA, 817 nt
Filed under: uncultured bacterium
Lineage: Bacteria
Description: bacterial SSU rRNA
Rfam family: Bacterial small subunit ribosomal RNA
Source: RNAcentral
AGAGUUUGAUCCUGGCUCAGGAUGAACGCUGGCGGCGUGCUUAACACAUGCAAGUCGAACGGAGAUAUCAUUUUCGAAGCGAUUAGUUUACUAAGAGUGGAGAUGUUGAUAUCUUAGUGGCGGACGGGUGAGUAACGCGUGGGUAACCUGCCUUACACUGGGGGAUAACACUUAGAAAUAGGUGCUAAUACCGCAUAAUGAGAGGAGACGCAUGUCUUCUGUCUGAAAACUCCGGUGGUGUAAGAUGGACCCGCGUCUGAUUAGCCAGUUGGAGGGGUAACGGCCCACCAAAGCGACGAUCAGUAGCCGGCCUGAGAGGGUGAACGGCCACAUUGGGACUGAGACACGGCCCAAACUCCUACGGGAGGCAGCAGUGGGGAAUAUUGGACAAUGGGGGGAACCCUGAUCCAGCGACGCCGCGUGAGUGAAGAAGUAUUUCGGUAUGUAAAGCUCUAUCAGCAGGGAAGAAAGAAAUGACGGUACCUGACUAAGAAGCCCCGGCUAACUACGUGCCAGCAGCCGCGGUAAUACGUAGGGGGCAAGCGUUAUCCGGAUUUACUGGGUGUAAAGGGAGCGUAGACGGCAGUGCAAGUCUGAAGUGAAAGGCGGGGGCCCAACCCCCGGACUGCUUUGGAAACUGUGCUGCUGGAGUGCAGGAGAGGCAAGUGGAAUUCCUAGUGUAGCGGUGAAAUGCGUAGAUAUUAGGAGGAACACCAGUGGCGAAGGCGGCUUGCUGGACUGUAACUGACGUUGAGGCUCGAAAGCGUGGGGAGCAAACAGGAUUAGAUACCCUGGUAGUCCACGCCGUAAACGAUGA